GACGAACGCUGGCGGCGUGCCUAAUACAUGCAAGUUGAGCGCUGAAGGUUGGUACUUGUACCGACUGGAUGAGCAGCGAACGGGUGAGUAACGCGUGGGGAAUCUGCCUUUGAGCGGGGGACAACAUUUGGAAACGAAUGCUAAUACCGCAUAAAAACUUUAAACACAAGUUUUAAGUUUGAAAGAUGCAAUUGCAUCACUCAAAGAUGAUCCCGCGUUGUAUUAGCUAGUUGGUGAGGUAAAGGCUCACCAAGGCGAUGAUACAUAGCCGACCUGAGAGGGUGAUCGGCCACAUUGGGACUGAGACACGGCCCCAACUCCUACGGGAGGCAGCAGUAGGGAAUCUUCGGCAAUGGACGAAAGUCUGACCGAGCAACGCCGCGUGAGUGAAGAAGGUUUUCGGAUCGUAAAACUCUGUUGGUAGAGAAGAACGUUGGUGAGAGUGGAAAGCUCAUCAAGUGACGGUAACUACCCAGAAAGGGACGGCUAACUACGUG
This 497-nucleotide ribosomal RNA is filed under the name uncultured bacterium. Its description in RNAcentral is "partial 16S ribosomal RNA". It matches the Rfam family "Bacterial small subunit ribosomal RNA", at positions 28 to 507 of the family's 1533-position model. The record is from RNAcentral.